Molecule: ribosomal RNA, 709 nt
Filed under: Alexandrium tamarense
Lineage: Eukaryota; Dinophyceae; Gonyaulacales; Pyrocystaceae
Description: LSU rRNA
Rfam family: Eukaryotic large subunit ribosomal RNA
Source: RNAcentral
ACCCGCUGAAUUUAAGCAUAUAAGUAAGUGGUGGAAAUUAAACCAAAUGGGAUUUCUUUAGUAAUUGCGAAUGAACAAGGAUAUGCUUAGCUUGACAAAUGGAGCUUUUGGCUUUGAGUUGUAUUGUGGAAAUGUACCACCAACAGAGGUGCAAGUGUCAGCCAUUUGAAAGAAAGCGUCAAUGAGGGUGAGAAUCCUGUUUGUCAUGUGCAGCCCUCUGUGCACGGUGUAUAUUUGCUGAGUCACACUCCUUGGCAUUGGAAUGCAAAGUGGGUGGUAAGUUUCAUACAAAGGUAAAUAUGCAAUUGAGACUGAUAGCACACAAGUACCAUGAGGGAAAUAUGAAAAGGACUUUGAAAAGAGAAUUAAAUGAGUUUGUAUUUGCUGAACACAAAGCAAACAGACUUGAUUUGCUUGGUGAGAUUGUAGUGCUUGCUUGACAAUAGGUUUUGGCUGUGGGUGAAAUGAUUCUUUCUUUGCAUGCCAGGUUCUAUGUGUACAUUUGAUUACCUUUGCACAUGAAUGGUAAUUUUCCUGCGGGGGGUGGAUUGCAUGUGCAUGUAAUGAUUUGUGUUUUGAUGAAUGUGUCUGGUGUAUCUGUUUUUGUUCCAUGUGUUUGAGGUUGCUUCCUUCCUUGGGCUUACAAGCCCUGACACACACAAUCUGGCAAAAUGUUUCUGCUUGACCCGUCUUGAAACACGGACCAAGG